Thalassophryne amazonica is the source of this 3271-nucleotide RNA transcript. It is a transcript of the gene named rasGAP-activating-like protein 1, with no coding region annotated. The record is from RefSeq and is a predicted model, not a curated record. The transcript has 22 exons. Lineage: Eukaryota; Metazoa; Chordata; Actinopteri; Batrachoidiformes; Batrachoididae.
ACUCGUGCUGGUCGUGCGCUCCGGCUCACGGACGGACCGGCGCGGAGAAUAUCGCGUUUUCUGUCAGCGCAGGAGGAGAGGUUCUCUGGAUGAACAUGGCCAAAAACACGUCUCUGUACUUUCGGAUCGUCGAGGGACGGAACCUUCCGGCCAAGGACGUCUCCGGCAGCAGUGACCCGUACUGCGUCAUCAAAGUGGACAACGAAGUGGUGGCCAGAACUGCCACAGUGUGGAAAAACCUGAAUCCUUUCUGGGGAGAAGAAUACACAUUGCACCUCCCGAUGGGAUUCCAUUCUCUCUCCUUUCAUGUCAUGGACGAGGACACAAUUGGCCACGAUGACGUAAUUGGAAAGAUAACUUUGAGCAAAGAAGCCAUCGGAUCUCAAGCUAAAGGCUUAGAUUGCUGGCUGAACCUGACACGAGUUGAUCCAAAUGAGGAGGUCCAGGGGGAAAUCCACCUGAGUCUGGAACUGUUGAAACGCACAGAAAGGAGCAACCUGCGAUGUCAGGUUUUUGAAGCCAGAGACCUGGCUCCGAGAGACAUCUCUGGGACCUCAGACCCCUUUGCCAGAGUUAUUUUCAACAACCACAGUGCAGAGACAUCGAUCAUCAAGAAGACUCGUUUCCCUCACUGGGGAGAGACCCUGGAGCUGGAUUUGGGCCCAGAGGAGCUGAGUGAGGAGGGCCUGGUCACCGUGGAGGUCUGGGACUGGGACAUGGUGGGCAGGAAUGACUUCCUGGGAAAGGUGGAAAUCCCGCUUGGAUGCUUGCACUCGACGCCUGUCUUAGAGAGCUGGUUUCGUCUGCUGCCUCUGGGGAACCGUGAGCUGGAUGCUGGCGGUAAGCUGGGGGCGCUGCGUCUGAAGGUGCGUCUGGUGGAAGACCGGAUCCUGCCCUCUGUUUACUAUCAGCCCCUCCUGGACCUUCUGGUGGAGUCGGUCAUCUCUCCUGCAGAGGUGGAGGACAGCAGUGCUCUGACCCUGCUGGAGGAGGUGACCACAGCGGAGAGUCGGCAGGAUGUAGCCAUGACCCUGGUGAAGAUUUACCUGGGACAAGGCCUGGUGGUGCCCUUCCUGGAUUACCUGAACACCCGUGAGGUUCACCACACCUCUGACCCCAACACUUUAUUUCGUUCCAACUCACUCGCAUCCAAAGCCAUGGAACAGUUCAUGAAGGCCGCUGGCACGCUUUAUUUGCACGAGGUGCUGAAGCCCAUCAUCAACCGCAUCUUUGAGGAGAAGAAGUAUGUUGAGCUGGACCCAUGUAAGAUCGACCUGAACCGCCUGAGGAGAAUUUCUUUUAAGGGGGGGCUGACGGAGGCGGACGUGCGUGACAGCAGUGUGGAGACGUUGCAGAACUACUUAUCGAGCGUUGUCAAAUCCAUCGUGAGCUCAGUGGAUCAGUGUCCACCUGUCAUGAGAGUGGCCUUCAAGCAGCUCCACAAGAGGGUGGAAGAGCAGUUUGCUGGACCUGAGCACGAGGACGUCAAAUAUCUGGCCAUCAGCGGCUUCUUCUUCCUGCGGUUUUUUGCGCCCGCAAUCCUCACACCAAAACUCUUCCAGCUGAGGGAGCAGCACGCCGAUCCGCGCACCAGCAGGACUUUGUUACUCUUGGCCAAGGCUUUACAAAGUGUCGGGAACUUGGGCCUUCAGUUGGGUCACGGAAAGGAGCAGUGGAUGGCACCUCUCCAUCCGAUCAUCCUCCGCAGUGUGGCCUCAGUCAAAGACUUCCUGGACAGACUGAUUGACAUCGACCACAGUGCUGCGUCUGAGGUGCCGCAGCGGGCUGUGCUCAUGCCAUCAGUCACGGUGAAGGAGGGGUUUCUCCACAAACACAAGGCGGAGGGGACGCAGCUGCUGUCCCGCUUUGCCUUUAAAAAGCGCUACUUCUGGUUGACCAGUGAGACCCUGUCCUACGCAAAGACCACUGACUGGCAGACGCGCUCCUCCAUCCCUGUCCAGUGUGUGCGCGCAGUGGAACGUGUGGAUGAAAAUGCAUUCCAGCAACCGAACGUGAUGCAGGUCGUCACGCAGAACGCGGACGGACAGUUGGACACCAUCUACAUCCAGUGCAAGAAUGUGAACGAGCUAAACCAGUGGCUGUCCGCCGUCAGGAAAGUCAGCAUCUACAACGAGCGCAUGCUGUCCUCCUUCCACCCAGGCGCUCAUCGCAGCAGCAAAUGGACCUGCUGCCUGAAGGCGGACCGUGCUGGUCCAGGUUGCAGCAGAACUCACUGUGCUGCCACACUGGGAGACUGGAGUGACCCUCUGGAUCCGGACGGGGAGACGCAGGCCAUUUACAAGCAGCUGGUCAACGGCAGAGACAAGCUGAGGAAAAAGUAUGUGGAGACAGUGCAGAUGGAAAAGACGUCCUGCAAAAGAGAAGAGACAAUCGGCUCUGAUGUUCACUCAGAUGGUGCAGAGGGUUCUGUUCAGCUUCCGACGCCAGGCCAAAGUGUCGCCGGUCGGCUCUUAGCGGUCAUAGAGGAUCUGGAUCAAGCUCACGCCACCUUUGAGCGUAAGGAAAUGGAAGACUGAAUGAACAUGAGUGACGCGCUGAGGGAGUUCUGCUACAUAGAAACAUUUGCUUUCUUUGAGUGCCAGUGAUUCCACAAGGUGAUGAACUCUGGGGACAUCAGAGGGACCAAAGGCAGACUUAAGAAAUCCAGGAAGGAAGAAUCACAGCCGAUGCUGAGCACAUUUCCAUGUUGGCACAGCCAAGCGGUUCCUAACUCUCCUGUUCCAUCCACCCCUGGACUCAUUCUCCACUGCCGACAAACCUGGGACCGGGCAAGAAGAGCCCUGCUACGGUCUUCAUUGGCCUAUAAAGAUGCUGCUGAUCGGAAAAGUUCCUCUGCGCCACCAUACGAGCCUGGUCAGAAGGUUUGGCUAUCCACUCGUCACCUUCCGUUGAAAGAACUGCCCAGAAAUCUGGCUCCCAGGUUCAUUGGCCCAUUCCCGGUCUCCAAAAUCAUUAACCCAGUAUCUGUUCACCUCCGUCUCCCAAGGUCUCUGCGCAUACAUCCUACCUUUCACGUCAGCCAUGUGAAGCCUGUCCAGUCCAACCCAUUGUGCCCUCCAGCCGUUCCCCACCCUUCCGCCGGUUUGUGGAUGGUGACCCUGUUUUUAUUGUGCGGCGGCUCCUGGACUCUAGCCGCCGUGGAAUCCAGUAUCUCAUGGACUGGGAGGGCUAUGGCCUGGUAUAUACAUUCUUUAUUUUUAAUGGUAUAAGGGGAGGGUGCUUAUAAGCUUUGCUUCUGCCUUCACCCUUU